This 1385-nucleotide ribosomal RNA is filed under the name Paramoeba branchiphila. RNAcentral's name for it is "SSU rRNA". It matches the Rfam family "Eukaryotic small subunit ribosomal RNA", at positions 327 to 1467 of the family's 1831-position model. The record is from RNAcentral. Lineage: Eukaryota; Discosea; Flabellinia; Dactylopodida; Paramoebidae.
GGUAGUAUAGAGGACUACCAUGGUGGUAACGGGUAACGGAGAAUCAGGGUUUGAUUCCGGAGAAGGAGCCUGAGAAACGGCUACUACUUCCAAGGAAGGCAGCAGGCGCGCAAAUUACCCAAUCCCGACACGGGGAGGUAGUGACAAAAAAUAACAAUAUCGAUGUUUUUACAACUUUGAUAAUUGGAAUGAGUACAAUCUAAAACCUUUAACGAGUAUCAAUUGGAGGGCAAGUCUGGUGCCAGCAGCCGCGGUAAUUCCAGCUCCAAUAGCAUAUAUUAAAGUUGUUGCAGUUAAAAAGUUCGUAGUUGGAUUUUGAAAUGUUAUAAAACAACCCGCUUUUAUAAGUGUGUUUUUUGUUGUUUUAUAUCUUUCUCCUUACUAGACUUUCACUAUUGUUCUUCAUUGAUCGAUAGUUUCAUCUCUUUUUUGAGGUGAGUGAUGGUUAGACCUCUUGGGUUUAGGAUUGUGGAUGAUUGCUUCGGCUGUUGUUCUGCUUAGAUUCAAGAACUAAUCAUUAGAAAUCUAGUUCUUUUACUUUGAGUAAAUUAGAGUGUUCAAGGCAAGCAAAUUAUUAUUGUUGCAAUGAAUACUAUUAGCAUGGGAUAAUGGAACAGGACACGUAUUCUAGUUUUCUGUUGGUUUCUAGAAUUUUUUGGCUUUUUCGGAGGUCAGUAGUGUAAUGAUUAAAAGGGACAGUUGGGGGCAUUCGUAUUUCAUUGUCAGAGGUGAAAUUCUUGGAUUUAUGAAAGACGAACUUCUGCGAAAGCAUUUGUCAAAGAUGUUUUCAUUAAUCAAGAACGAAAGUUAGGGGAUCGAAGACGAUCAGAUACCGUCGUAGUCUUAACCAUAAACUAUGCCGACCAGGGAUUGGAAGAUGUAUUAUCUAGUGUAACAGCUAGAAAACUCCUUCAGUACCUUACGAGAAAUCAUAAGUCUUUGGGUUCUGGGGGGAGUAUGGUCGCAAGGCUGAAACUUAAAGGAAUUGACGGAAGGGCACCACCAGGAGUGGAGCCUGCGGCUUAAUUUGACUCAACACGGGAAAACUUACCAGGUCCAGACACAGUUAGGAUUGACAGAUUGAGAGCUCUUUCUUGAUUCUGUGGGUGGUGGUGCAUGGCCGUUCUUAGUUGGUGGAGUGAUUUGUCUGGUUAAUUCCGAUAACGAACGAGACCUCAGCCUACUAAUUAGUUAUGAAAAUGAUUACAUUCUUUAUGAAGGGGGUUUCUGUUAUAGCUUUGGGUUUGACUUGGAGAUAUAAUAGAAAAACUCGUUUUCAUUUGUUAGAGAUUUGAUGCCUUCUGGUUGACGAUUUCGAUAAUGACUUCUUAGAGGGACACUUGGUGUUUAACCAAGGGAAGUUUGAGGCAAUAACAGGUCUGUGA